CCUACGGGAGGCAGCAGUGGGGAAUAUUGGGCAAUGGGCGCAAGCCUGACCCAGCAACGCCGCGUGAAGGAAGAAGGCUUUCGGGUUGUAAACUUCUUUUAUCAGGGACGUAGAAAGUGACGGUACCUGAUGAAUAAGCCACGGCUAACUACGUGCCAGCAGCCGCGGUAAUACGUAGGUGGCAAGCGUUAUCCGGAUUUACUGGGUGUAAAGGGCGUGUAGGCGGGAAAGCAAGUCAGAUGUGAAAACCAUGGGCUCAACCUGUGGCCUGCAUUUGAAACUGUUUUUCUUGAGUACUGGAGAGGCAGACGGAAUUCCUAGUGUAGCGGUGAAAUGCGUAGAUAUUAGGAAGAACACCAGUGGCGAAGGCAGUCUGCUGGACAGCAACUGACGCUGAGGCGCGAAAGCGUGGGGAGCAAACAGGAUUAGAUACCCCUGUAGUC
This 443-nucleotide ribosomal RNA is filed under the name uncultured bacterium. RNAcentral's name for it is "partial 16S ribosomal RNA". It matches the Rfam family "Bacterial small subunit ribosomal RNA", at positions 338 to 795 of the family's 1533-position model. The record is from RNAcentral.